GAUGAACGCUGGCGGCGUGCCUAAUACAUGCAAGUCGAGCGAACAGACGAGGAGCUUGCUCCUCUGACGUUAGCGGCGGACGGGUGAGUAACACGUGGAUAACCUACCUAUAAGACUGGGAUAACUUCGGGAAACCGGAGCUAAUACCGGAUAAUAUAUUGAACCGCAUGGUUCAAUAGUGAAAGACGGUUUUGCUGUCACUUAUAGAUGGGUCCGCGCCGCAUUAGCUAGUUGGUAAGGUAACGGCUUACCAAGGCAACGAUGCGUAGCCGACCUGAGAGGGUGAUCGGCCACACUGGAACUGAGACACGGUCCAGACUCCUACGGGAGGCAGCAGUAGGGAAUCUUCCGCAAUGGGCGAAAGCCUGACGGAGCAACGCCGCGUGAAUGAUGAAGGUCUUCGGAUCGUAAAACUCUGUUAUUAGGGAAGAACAAAUGUGUAAGUAACUAUGCACGUCUUGACGGUACCUAAUCAGAAAGCCACGGCUAACUACGUG
Molecule: ribosomal RNA, 497 nt
Filed under: uncultured bacterium
Lineage: Bacteria
Description: partial 16S ribosomal RNA
Rfam family: Bacterial small subunit ribosomal RNA
Source: RNAcentral